CCUACGGGUGACUGCAGUGAGGAAUAUUGGUCAAUGGGCGGAAGCCUGAACCAGCCAAGUAGCGUGCAGGAUGACGGCCCUACGGGUUGUAAACUGCUUUUAUACGGGAAUAACGCGCCUUACGUGUAGGGCUUUGCAUGUACCGUAUGAAUAAGGACCGGCUAAUUCCGGGCCAGCAGCCGCGGUAAUACGGAAGGUCCGGGCGUUAUCCGGAUUUAUUGGGGUUAAAGGGAGCGUAGGCCGCAUGUCAAGCGUGCUGUGAAAUGUCCGGGCUCAACCCGGGCCUUGCAGCGCGAACUGGGGUGCUUGAGUCCGCGGAAAGCAGGCGGAAUUCGUCGUGUAGCGGUGAAAUGCUUAGAUAUGACGAAGAACCCCGAUUGCGAAGGCAGCUUGCUGCAGCGGAACUGACGCUGAUGCUCGAAAGCGCGGGUAUCGAACAGGAUUAGAUACCCCGGUAGUC
Molecule: ribosomal RNA, 460 nt
Filed under: uncultured bacterium
Lineage: Bacteria
Description: partial 16S ribosomal RNA
Rfam family: Bacterial small subunit ribosomal RNA
Source: RNAcentral